Gossypium hirsutum (cotton) is the source of this 137-nucleotide non-coding RNA. Lineage: Eukaryota; Viridiplantae; Streptophyta; Magnoliopsida; Malvales; Malvaceae. The record is from Rfam.
UAUUAAAAAUUUUAUCCAUUUCUACUAUUAAAAACUGGCAUGACCAUCAAAAUAACCAAACAGUGACACAUGGCGUGCCACAUGUGUCUCAUAUAGGGACCAAUUUUUAUUAGUAGAAAUGGAAGAAAUUUUUAACA